CCACCCCACCCAAAGUCAUCAUUGGCUACUGGAGAAUCAGAGUCAACCGAAUGCAUAUGCAGCAUAUCCUACCCUAAUUGAAAUAUUGCUGAUCGAAAUCUAUCAAAAUAUUUACCCUUUAUAUUGGACAAAAUUGAUCAUUAGUAGAAGAAGCAAUAUCUAUUUUAUCAAAAUAUUUUCUCGGGGAUUUCACGAAAAAGCUUGACGGUUUUAUCAAAUUGUUUGGAGUGAGCGCAGGCAAUUCAGUAGGGGCAUUUCUUCGAACAGGUCGAGCGCGUGGUCAGACAUUUGGGACUUGCCAUAAAGCCACAGGAGGCGGACUGUGAAGCGUUCAUUGGUGAUAUCUUUGUACUGUUUUUGGUGGUUAAGGAUGUCAUGGAUCGAAGAGAGGCGGCCUGCAGUGUUGAGAAGAUCACUAAUUUGAGCUUUAACCACUGUGAGAGCCAGGAAGAGGGGUGGGGUGGGAAGAAGAUCCAUUUUUGUUUUCUUUCUCUCUGUUUUGUUUUUUUUUGUUUUUUGUUUUUUUUUAAUUUAUGUUUUUUUAAUUGUUU
This 551-nucleotide long non-coding RNA is filed under the name Olea europaea subsp. europaea. The record is from RNAcentral. Lineage: Eukaryota; Viridiplantae; Streptophyta; Magnoliopsida; Lamiales; Oleaceae.